Molecule: ribosomal RNA, 492 nt
Filed under: uncultured bacterium
Lineage: Bacteria
Description: partial 16S ribosomal RNA
Rfam family: Bacterial small subunit ribosomal RNA
Source: RNAcentral
AGUGAACGCUGGCGGUAGGCCUAACACAUGCAAGUCGAACGGCAGCACAGUAAGAGCUUGCUCUUACGGGUGGCGAGUGGCGGACGGGUGAGGAAUACAUCGGAAUCUACUUUUUCGUGGGGGAUAACGUAGGGAAACUUACGCUAAUACCGCAUACGACCUACGGGUGAAAGCAGGGGAUCUUCGGACCUUGCGCGAUUGAAUGAGCCGAUGUCGGAUUAGCUAGUUGGCGGGGUAAAGGCCCACCAAGGCGACGAUCCGUAGCUGGUCUGAGAGGAUGAUCAGCCACACUGGAACUGAGACACGCUCCAGACCCCUACGGGAGGCAGCAGUGGGGAAUAUUGGACAAUGGGCGCAAGCCUGAUCCAGCCAUACCGCGUGGGUGAAGAAGGCCUUCGGGUUGUAAAGCCCUUUUGUUGGGAAAGAAAAGCAGCAGGUUAAUACCCCGCUGUUCUGACGGUACCCAAAGAAUAAGCACCGGCUAACUUCGUG